UACAGAGGUCUCAAGCGUUGUUCGGAAUCACUGGGCGUAAAGGGUGCGUAGGUGGCGUGGUAAGUCAGAUGUGAAAGCCCGGGGCUCAACCUCGGAACUGCAUCCGAUACUGCCAUGCUAGAGAACUGAAGAGGAGUGUAGAAUUCUCGGUGUAGCAGUGAAAUGCGUAGAUAUCGAGAGGAAUACCAACGGCGAAGGCAGCACUCUGGGCAGUUUCUGACACUGAGGCACGAAGGCUAGGGGAGCAAACGGGAUUAGAAACCCCAGUAGUCC
Molecule: ribosomal RNA, 273 nt
Filed under: uncultured bacterium
Lineage: Bacteria
Description: partial 16S ribosomal RNA
Rfam family: Bacterial small subunit ribosomal RNA
Source: RNAcentral